Long non-coding RNA from Fukomys damarensis (Damara mole-rat), 341 nucleotides. RefSeq lists it as uncharacterized. The transcript is spliced from 3 exons. The record is from RefSeq and is a predicted model, not a curated record. NCBI's taxonomy places the organism in Eukaryota, Metazoa, Chordata, Mammalia, Rodentia, Bathyergidae.
GGAAACAGUUUAUCAGUGUGGAUGGGACCUGCUCUCCUAUUUGAGAUAAACAGAAGACUCGACAUGAUGCGCUGGAGAAGUGUGGUGUGGUUGAUUCCUCCCUUCGCCAGUUAUCGUCUUUGCCUCUUUCUCUGCAUUCCGGUUUCAUCUAUGAUACAUCGCUAGUCAAGAAAGGUCCACACACAGCAUUGCUGAUGCUCUCAUGCGUACCAUUAUGGCGGCACGGAAAGAUGGCGGAAAGAGCAAUGACGCGAUCUUGACAGGCUUGGGGCCACGCCUUCAGUCCACCCGAGCCACUACCAAGGAGCAGUUCAAAUGUGUCCAGCCGGCAGGUCCCUUUA